Molecule: ribosomal RNA, 253 nt
Filed under: uncultured bacterium
Lineage: Bacteria
Description: partial 16S ribosomal RNA
Rfam family: Bacterial small subunit ribosomal RNA
Source: RNAcentral
GACGAGGGAUCCUAGCGUUGUUCGGAAUUAUUGGGCGUAAAGCGGGUGUAGGCGGAUUUAUAAGUCAGGCGUGAAAUCCCAGGGCUCAACCCUGGAAGUGCACUUGAUACUGUAAAUCUUGAGUGUGGUAGAGGCUAUUAGAAUUCCUGGUGUAGUGGUGAAAUACGUAGAUAUCAGGAGGAAUACCGGAGGCGAAGGCGGAUAGCUGGGCCAACACUGACGCUGAGCCCCGAAAGCGUGGGGAUCAAACAGG